RNAcentral lists this long non-coding RNA (267 nucleotides) under Vigna radiata. Its description in RNAcentral is "long non-coding RNA (VRAD_LNC009696)". Lineage: Eukaryota; Viridiplantae; Streptophyta; Magnoliopsida; Fabales; Fabaceae. The record is from RNAcentral.
GCCCCUCUUUACUUAGAUAUUACUAGAUAAUAUGAAAAUUUGAUAUUUUUGUAUUAUCUGAGUAAAAGCUAAGUAAAGAUAGAAACACUAAUUUUGUCCGGGUUUCAAAAAAGAAAUGAAAGGAUGAAAACUGAAAACUUAAAUUUGACCAUUGCGAAGCAGAGGGCCGAUAACAAAAUUAAAACCUGGAUUUGACCAUUGCCUUGCAGAGGGCCAAAAUCGCAGAAGAAAAACAUAAAUUUGACCAUUGCGAAGCAGAGGGCCGAU